GGGUUGUGAGGUUAAGUGACUAAGCGUACACGGUGGAUGCCUAGGCAGUCAGAGGCGAUGAAGGGCGUGCUAAUCUGCGAAAAGCGUCGGUAAGGUGAUAUGAACCGUUACAACCGGCGAUACCCGAAUGGGGAAACCCAGUGUGUUUCGACACACUAUCAUGUCAUGAAUACAUAGUGGCAUGAGGCGAACCGGGGGAACUGAAACAUCUAAGUACCCCGAGGAAAAGAAAUCAACCGAGAUUCCCCCAGUAGCGGCGAGCGAACGGGGAGGAGCCCAGAACCUGAAUCGGCUUGUGUGUUAGUGGAAGCGUCUGGAAAGUCGCGCAGCAAAGGGUGAUAGCCCCGUACACUAAAAUGCACAGGUCGUGAGUUCGAUGAGUAGGGCGGGACACGUGACAUCCUGUCUGAAUAUGGGGGGACCAUCCUCCAAGGCUAAAUACUCCUGACUGACCGAUAGUGAACCAGUACCGUGAGGGAAAGGCGAAAAGAACCCCGGCGAGGGGAGUGAAAUAGAACCUGAAACCGUGUACGUACAAGCAGUGGGAGCACCUUCGUGGUGUGACUGCGUACCUUUUGUAUAAUGGGUCAGCGACUUAUAUUUUGUAGCAAGGUUAACCGUAUAGGGGAGCCGUAGGGAAACCGAGUCUUAACUGGGCGAAUAGUUGCAAGGUAUAGACCCGAAACCCGGUGAUCUAGCCAUGGGCAGGUUGAAGGUUGGGUAACACUAACUGGAGGACCGAACCGACUAAUGUUGAAAAAUUAGCGGAUGACUUGUGGCUGGGGGUGAAAGGCCAAUCAAACCGGGAGAUAGCUGGUUCUCCCCGAAAGCUAUUUAGGUAGCGCCUCGUGAACUCAUCUUCGGGGGUAGAGCACUGUUUCGGCUAGGGGGCCAUCCCGGCUUACCAAACCGAUGCAAACUCCGAAUACCGAAGAAUGUUAUCACGGGAGACACACGGCGGGUGCUAACGUCCGUCGUGAAGAGGGAAACAACCCAGACCGCCAGCUAAGGUCCCAAAGUCAUGGUUAAGUGGGAAACGAUGUGGGAAGGCACAGACAGCCAGGAUGUUGGCUUAGAAGCAGCCAUCAUUUAAAGAAAGCGUAAUAGCUCACUGGUCGAGUCGGCCUGCGCGGAAGAUGUAACGGGGCUAAACCAUGCACCGAAGCUGCGGCAGCGACGCUUAGGCGUUGUUGGGUAGGGGAGCGUUCUGUAAGCCGUUGAAGGUGGCCUGUGAGGGUUGCUGGAGGUAUCAGAAGUGCGAAUGCUGACAUAAGUAACGAUAAAGCGGGUGAAAAGCCCGCUCGCCGGAAGACCAAGGGUUCCUGUCCAACGUUAAUCGGGGCAGGGUGAGUCGACCCCUAAGGCGAGGCUGAAAAGCGUAGUCGAUGGGAAACAGGUUAAUAUUCCUGUACUUGGUGUUACUGCGAAGGGGGGACGGAGAAGGCUAGGCUAGCCGGGCGACGGUUGUCCCGGUUUAAGCGUGUAGGGGGUGUGACCUGGUAAAUCCGGUUGCAUACUAACCCUGAGGCGUGAUGACGAUGCACUACGGUGCAGAAGUAGUUGAUGCCCUGCUUCCAGGAAAAUCCUCUAAGCUCCAGGUAACAUUNNNNNNNNNNNNNNNNNNNNNNNNNNNNNNNNNNNNNNNNNNNNNNNNNNNNNNNNNNNNNNNNNNNNNNNNNNNNNNNNNNNNNNNNNNNNNNAAGCCAGUCGAAGAUACCAGCUGGCUGCAACUGUUUAAUAAAAACACAGCACUGUGCAAACACGAAAGUGGACGUAUACGGUGUGACGCCUGCCCGGUGCUGGAAGGUUAAUUGAUGGGGUCAGCCGCAAGGCGAAGCUCUUGAUCGAAGCCCCAGUAAACGGCGGCCGUAACUAUAACGGUCCUAAGGUAGCGAAAUUCCUUGUCGGGUAAGUUCCGACCUGCACGAAUGGCGUAAUGAUGGCCAGGCUGUCUCCACCCGAGACUCAGUGAAAUUGAACUCGCUGUGAAGAUGCAGUGUACCCGCGGCAAGACGGAAAGACCCCGUGAACCUUUACUAUAGCUUGACACUGAACAUUGAGCCUUGAUGUGUAGGAUAGGUGGGAGGCUUUGAAGCGUGGACGCCAGUCUGCGUGGAGCCAUCCUUGAAAUACCACCCUUUAAUGUUUGAUGUUCUAACUCUGCCCCAUAAUCUGGGGUGAGGACAGUGUCUGGUGGGUAGUUUGACUGGGGCGGUCUCCUCCCAAAGAGUAACGGAGGAGCACGAAGGUUAGCUAAUCACGGUCGGACAUCGUGAGGUUAGUGCAAAGGCAUAAGCUAGCUUGACUGCGAGAGUGACGGCUCGAGCAGGUACGAAAGUAGGUCUUAGUGAUCCGGUGGUUCUGAAUGGAAGGGCCAUCGCUCAACGGAUAAAAGGUACUCCGGGGAUAACAGGCUGAUACCGCCCAAGAGUUCAUAUCGACGGCGGUGUUUGGCACCUCGAUGUCGGCUCAUCACAUCCUGGGGCUGAAGUAGGUCCCAAGGGUAUGGCUGUUCGCCAUUUAAAGUGGUACGCGAGCUGGGUUUAGAACGUCGUGAGACAGUUCGGUCCCUAUCUGCCGUGGGCGUUGGAAGAUUGAGAGGGGUUGCUCCUAGUACGAGAGGACCGGAGUGAACGCACCACUGGUGUUCGGGUUGUCAUGCCAAUGGCAUUGCCCGGUAGCUAAGUGCGGAAAAGAUAAGCGCUGAAAGCAUCUAAGCGCGAAACUUGCCUCAAGAUGAGUCUUCCCUGGGCCUUUAAGGCCCCUGAAGGAACGUUUAAGACUAAGACGUUGAUAGGCUGGGUGUGUAAGUGCAGCGAUGCAUUGAGCUAACCAGUACUAAUGAUCCGUGAGGCUUAACCUUACAACACCGAAGGUGUUUUAG
Molecule: ribosomal RNA, 2884 nt
Filed under: Serratia marcescens
Lineage: Bacteria; Pseudomonadati; Pseudomonadota; Gammaproteobacteria; Enterobacterales; Yersiniaceae
Description: 23S ribosomal RNA
Rfam family: Bacterial large subunit ribosomal RNA
Source: RNAcentral